AACGAAACGGAAGGAGGUGAUCCAAUGUCGAGUGGUUUGCAAUUGCCGACAGGAUCGGAAAUGUGCGUCGACGGGAAGGGGCAGCCUUCUUUCUGACGAUGGUUUUCGGCCAAUCAGGCACGGCCUGACGGCAAGAGCUCGCAAUCACGGGGCCGCUCCUUCGACGGGGCGGCCCU
This 176-nucleotide small RNA is filed under the name Aureimonas altamirensis DSM 21988. Its description in RNAcentral is "caulobacter sRNA CC2171". Lineage: Bacteria; Pseudomonadati; Pseudomonadota; Alphaproteobacteria; Hyphomicrobiales; Aurantimonadaceae. The record is from RNAcentral.